ACCUUAGGAGACAGACGUCACCACGUGGAGCGGCUGAGCCGGGCGAGGGACAAAGUGUCACCGGGAUCAUCCACAGGGAGCUCCACGUCACCACAGAUCCCCUGCACGGAGCUCUGCAGGUUGUCGCCUCCGCCUGUUCCAGAUGAUGAAUUGGUCCUGUUCGAGGCCGAUCCGCUCGUUUGAGCGCGGCGCCGCUUUUCCAGGACUCCGCGCGAAAUGAGGGAGCCCCGGCCAUUUUUCAUCCCCGGAGAGAUGAGCGACACGGGGAAUAAAUUUUCCUGCUUAAAAAUU
This is a long non-coding RNA of Corapipo altera (White-ruffed manakin), 291 nucleotides long. RefSeq lists it as uncharacterized. NCBI's taxonomy places the organism in Eukaryota, Metazoa, Chordata, Aves, Passeriformes, Pipridae. The record is from RefSeq and is a predicted model, not a curated record. The transcript is spliced from 2 exons.